RNAcentral lists this small RNA (28 nucleotides) under Bombyx mori (domestic silkworm). RNAcentral describes it as "ovarian small RNA-11951". The record is from RNAcentral. Lineage: Eukaryota; Metazoa; Arthropoda; Insecta; Lepidoptera; Bombycidae.
AGAUCCAAAACCAGCAGACAAACCCGAU